GACGAACGCUGGCGGCGUGCUUAACACAUGCAAGUCGAACGGAAAGGCUCCUGCUUGCAGGGGUACUCGAGUGGCGAACGGGUGAGUAACACGUGGGUGAUCUGCCUUGUACUCUGGGAUAAGCUUGGGAAACUGGGUCUAAUACCGGAUAGUAGCCGCCUUUAGUGUGGUGGUUGGAAAGUUUUUUCGGUGCAAGAUGAGCUCGCGGCCUAUCAGCUUGUUGGUGGGGUAAUGGCCUACCAAGGCGUCGACGGGUAGCCGGCCUGAGAGGGUGUACGGCCACAUUGGGACUGAGAUAUGGCCCAGACUCCUACGGGAGGCAGCAGUGGGGAAUAUUGCACAAUGGGCGGAAGCCUGAUGCAGCGACGCCGCGUGGGGGAUGACGGCCUUCGGGUUGUAAACUCCUUUCGACAGGGACGAAGCUUUUUGUGACGGUAC
RNAcentral lists this ribosomal RNA (438 nucleotides) under uncultured bacterium. RNAcentral describes it as "bacterial SSU rRNA". It matches the Rfam family "Bacterial small subunit ribosomal RNA", at positions 28 to 478 of the family's 1533-position model. The record is from RNAcentral.